AUGGCUUACCUUUUUGCUUAUGUGAGCAUCUUUCUCUUAGUUUGUGGAUCAGCCAAUGCUCAACAAGCAUCCCAGUUCUGUGCUUAUGCCUGGCAUGAAUUCAGCAAUUGCCUGAGGUUCCUUACAGGCUUAUAUCCUCAAUAUCCAUCACUUGAGUGUUGUGAGGCGGUGAGGACAUUGAACUUGGUGGCCCAAGGUGAUGAGUUAGCACCUGGGAAUAUAUGUCAAUGCAUUGAGGACAUGGCUUCUGUAUAUCGCAUUCCUUUUGUAGCCUCUCUCAUCCAAGAUCUUCCCAUAAAAUGCAAUGCUCAUCUUAGUUUCCCUAUUUCUAAUAGCAUGGACUGCACACA
RNAcentral lists this long non-coding RNA (350 nucleotides) under Prunus dulcis (almond). RNAcentral describes it as "sRNA ncRNA". Lineage: Eukaryota; Viridiplantae; Streptophyta; Magnoliopsida; Rosales; Rosaceae. The record is from RNAcentral.